UACGAAGGGGGCUAGCGUUGCUCGGAAUCACUGGGCGUAAAGCGCACGUAGGCGGAUUUGUAAGUCAGGGGUGAAAUCCCGGGGCUCAACCUCGGAACUGCCUUUGAUACUGCAAAUCUCGAGUCCGGAAGAGGUGAGUGGAAUUCCUAGUGUAGAGGUGAAAUUCGUAGAUAUUCGCAAGAACACCAGUGGCGAAGGCGGCUCACUGGCCCGGUACUGACGCUGAGGUGCGAAAGCGUGGGGAGCAAACAGG
RNAcentral lists this ribosomal RNA (253 nucleotides) under uncultured bacterium. RNAcentral's name for it is "partial 16S ribosomal RNA". It matches the Rfam family "Bacterial small subunit ribosomal RNA", at positions 524 to 776 of the family's 1533-position model. The record is from RNAcentral.